RNAcentral lists this ribosomal RNA (406 nucleotides) under uncultured bacterium. Its description in RNAcentral is "partial 16S ribosomal RNA". It matches the Rfam family "Bacterial small subunit ribosomal RNA", at positions 29 to 526 of the family's 1533-position model. The record is from RNAcentral.
AUUGAACGCUGGCGGCAGGCCUAACACAUGCAAGUCGAGCGAGCGGCGGACGGGUGAGUAAUGUCUGGGAAACUGCCUGAUGGAGGGGGAUAACUACUGGAAACGGUAGCUAAUACCGCAUACCAUCAGAUGUGCCCAGAGGGGCUUAGCUAGUAGGUGGGGUAACGGCUCACCUAGGCGACGAUCCCUAGCUGGUCUGAGAGGAUGACCAGCAACACUGGAGCUGGGACACGGUCCAGACUAAUACGGGAGGCAGCAGUGGGGAAGAUUGCACAAUGGGCGAAAGCCGGAUGCAGCAAGGCCGCGGGUGGGAAGACGGCCUUCGGGUUGUAAAGCACUUUCAGCGGGGAGGCGUUACCCGCAGAAGAAGCACCGGCUAACUACGUGCCAGCAGCCGCGGUAAUAC